CAAUAGCGUAUAUUAAAGUUGUUGCAGUUAAAAGCUCGUAGUUGGAUUUCGGAGUGGGCCAGUUGGUCCGCCGCAAGGUGUGUUACUGACUGGUUUGCUCUUCUUCGCAAAGACUGCGUGUGCCCUUAAAUGAGUGUGCGUAGGAUUUACGACGUUUACUUUGAAAAAUUAGAGUGUUCAAAAGCAGGCUAUUGCUUGAAUACAUGAGCAUGGAAUAAUGGAAUAGGACUUUGGUCCCAUUUGUGUUUCUAUGGGCCGAAGUAAUGAUUAAGAGGACAAUGGGGCAUCGGUAUUCGUGUCAGAGGUGAAAAUUCUUGGAUUUACGAAAAGACGAAACAAACUGCGAAAAGCACUUGCCAAAGAGUGUUUUCAUUAAU
This 377-nucleotide ribosomal RNA is filed under the name uncultured eukaryote. RNAcentral describes it as "SSU rRNA". It matches the Rfam family "Eukaryotic small subunit ribosomal RNA", at positions 592 to 977 of the family's 1831-position model. The record is from RNAcentral.